This 255-nucleotide ribosomal RNA is filed under the name uncultured bacterium. RNAcentral describes it as "partial 16S ribosomal RNA". It matches the Rfam family "Bacterial small subunit ribosomal RNA", at positions 524 to 776 of the family's 1533-position model. The record is from RNAcentral.
UACGGAGGGUGCGAGCGUUGUCCGGAUUUAUUGGGUUUAAAGGGAGCGUAGGUGGGUCGGUAAGUCAGUGGUGAAAAUCUUCGAGCUUAACUCGGAAACUGCCAUUGAUACUAUCGAUCUUGAAUUAUCUGGAGGUAAGCGGAAUAUGUCAUGUAGCGGUGAAAUGCUUAGAUAUGACAUAGAACACCCAUUGCGAAGGCAGCUUACUACGGAUAUAUUGACACUGAGGCUCGAAAAGCGUGGGGAUCAAACAGG